UACAGAGGUCCCAAGCGUUGUUCGGAUUCACUGGGCGUAAAGGGUGCGUAGGUGGCGGGGUAAGUUUGAUGUGAAAUCUCCGAGCUUAACUCGGAAAUGGCAUUGAAUACUAUUCUGCUGGAGGUUUGGAGGGGGGACUGGAAUUCUCGGUGUAGCAGUGAAAUGCGUAGAUAUCGAGAGGAACACCAGUGGCGAAGGCGAGUCCCUGGACAACACCUGACACUGAGGCACGAAAGCUAGGGGAGCAAACAGG
This 253-nucleotide ribosomal RNA is filed under the name uncultured bacterium. RNAcentral describes it as "partial 16S ribosomal RNA". It matches the Rfam family "Bacterial small subunit ribosomal RNA", at positions 524 to 776 of the family's 1533-position model. The record is from RNAcentral.